UUUUCAACCACUGGAAUCCCAAAUCUCAUCUGGUCUCAGAAGCUAAGCAAGAUUUGGUUUGGUAAGUACUUGGAUGAGAGACCGCCAGGCAAAUCCAGGUGCUAGAAGAU
Molecule: ribosomal RNA, 110 nt
Organism: Sinocyclocheilus grahami
Lineage: Eukaryota; Metazoa; Chordata; Actinopteri; Cypriniformes; Cyprinidae
Source: Ensembl